GAGGCUGUGGCUCAGUGGUAGAGUGCUCACUUAGUACGUGUGAGGCAUUGGGUUCAAUCCUCAGCCCCA
Molecule: transfer RNA, 69 nt
Filed under: Marmota marmota marmota (Alpine marmot)
Lineage: Eukaryota; Metazoa; Chordata; Mammalia; Rodentia; Sciuridae
Also listed under: 1 other name
Rfam family: tRNA
About the family: Transfer RNA (tRNA) molecules are approximately 80 nucleotides in length. Their secondary structure includes four short double-helical elements and three loops (D, anti-codon, and T loops).
Source: Rfam by way of RNAcentral